This 89-nucleotide transfer RNA is filed under the name Streptomyces caelestis. RNAcentral describes it as "tRNA-Glu". The record is from RNAcentral. Lineage: Bacteria; Bacillati; Actinomycetota; Actinomycetes; Kitasatosporales; Streptomycetaceae.
CGCGGGGCGGACGGCUUGCGGUCGGCGGCCUUCUCGGGGGCGGGCUCGGGCGUGGUCGCGGGGCUCGGUGCCUGCUCCGGGGCCCGCGC